CCCAUCUAUUAUGUCGUUAGGAGCAGGCUCAAGGUCUAGAGUCUUGUCAUCUAAAUCAGGUUUAGCUGUGGAUGAGGCUCCUCUGGUGCAGUGCAUUGGGUACAGUUCUUUGAGUACUAUUGCCCUUAAUUUAAAGGCCAGUUACCUAAACAGGUAAGUUAUUUCUCCUCCUUACAUAAUGAAGCAAACAAAGAUAAUUGCUAAAAGAACUUCACCCUGACAACCCACAUCCCAUGUUGAGCAAUGGGGUAACUGGGACAGGAGAUGUGAUCCUGAUACCGCAACAUUUGUUCCCAAUUUGGAGGAGUUUAUUUGAGAGGUUCCAUCCCUUAAUCUUUGUUUGGAAGACUUUGGUAUGUGUGUUACUUUAUGCACACUCAGCCACCUAAAGCUCAAAAGUUUCUUUCCAGAUCCGUGCUCCCGGUAUCCCAGUCAAGUUGGGUGAAUUCUCCCCUGAAAUUCUUCCAUCACUCCUGAAGCAAAGAGGCAAGCCUUGAUGAAACAAAAGGAGCCCAAGUUUUGAGAUCAGACAGACUUGGGUUUGAAUCUCAACACUAUCCCUUCCUGGCUGUGUGACUUUGGAUAAGACCCGUGAACUCCCUGAACCUGAGCUGCAACCGUAAGCCAGAACACAUAUAAAGUGCUGAAUAAAUGGCAGCUGUCAGAAUUCUUAUUUAAUAUGUGCAUCCCAUUGGGUUGUACAUUUCUGCUGAUGCAUCAUUUUUUUCUGAGAUUCCCCAAGGCUGGACUGUGUCUUGUUCAACUUUGUCUUCGCAGUGCCCCUUGAUAAGUAUAAGAAUGCGCUAAGAGUUGGAAGCAUGAAUAAAUCAUCUUGUACUUUUUUGA
Molecule: long non-coding RNA, 846 nt
Organism: Homo sapiens (human)
Lineage: Eukaryota; Metazoa; Chordata; Mammalia; Primates; Hominidae
Exons: 2
Source: RefSeq, a predicted model, not a curated record